GAUGAACGCUGGCGGCGUGCCUAAUACAUGCAAGUCGAGCGAACGGACGAGAAGCUUGCUUCUCUGAUGUUAGCGGCGGACGGGUGAGCAACACGUGGAUAACCUACCUAUAAGACUGGGAUAACUUCGGGAAACCGGAGCUAAUACCGGAUAAUAUUUUGAACCGCAUGGUUCAAAAGUGAAAGACGGUUUUGCUGUCACUUAUAGAUGGAUCCGCGCGGCAUUAGCUAGUUGGUAAGGUAACGGCUUACCAAGGCAACGAUGCAUAGCCGACCUGAGAGGGUGUUCGCCACCACUGAACCUGGGACCCGGUCAGACCCCCUCCGGAGGGCGGCGGUGGGAAUUCUUCCGCAAUGGGCGAAGGCCUGCCGGGCCACCGCCGCGUGGGUGAUAAAGGUCUUCGAUUCGUAAAACUCUGUUAUUGGGAAAAAACAUAUGUGUAGGUAACUGUGCCGAUCUUAACGGUACCUAAUCAGAAGGCCCCGGCUACCUACGU
This 496-nucleotide ribosomal RNA is filed under the name uncultured bacterium. RNAcentral's name for it is "partial 16S ribosomal RNA". It matches the Rfam family "Bacterial small subunit ribosomal RNA", at positions 28 to 506 of the family's 1533-position model. The record is from RNAcentral.